Solanum stenotomum is the source of this 317-nucleotide long non-coding RNA. RefSeq lists it as uncharacterized. NCBI's taxonomy places the organism in Eukaryota, Viridiplantae, Streptophyta, Magnoliopsida, Solanales, Solanaceae. The transcript is spliced from 3 exons. The record is from RefSeq and is a predicted model, not a curated record.
AGAUUGGAAAGGUUCGGAGGCGUUGAGGAAAGGAAAGGCAUUGGAGAAGUAGCUUGCCUGACGUCAGUUCUUCGGUGGAGCAAGUGUACCAUCGACUUCGACUCGCCCUCAGCUCUAGCCAAUCUCCAGCACAUCAGAUUUCAGGAUGGUCAGAACUAGAGCAACAGGUGUGACAACACCAACCCCGGCAAGACAGGGUAUGCCUGAGCCAACCGUUGGGGCUGCAGCUCGAAGGGGAGCAGUGGCAAGAGGCCGUGGUAGAGGUCGCGGGAGAAGGCCCACUAGAGGCAGAGGACAAACACCUGGUUCAGCUAGGA